This 456-nucleotide ribosomal RNA is filed under the name Hydrovatus pictulus. RNAcentral describes it as "partial 16S ribosomal RNA". Lineage: Eukaryota; Metazoa; Arthropoda; Insecta; Coleoptera; Dytiscidae. The record is from RNAcentral.
AACAAAAACAUGUCUUUUUGGAAUUAAUUUAAAGUUUAACCUGCCCAAUGAUUUUUUAAUGGCCGCAGUAAAUUGACUGUGCAAAGGUAGCAUAAUCAUUAGUUUUUUAAUUAAAAGCUGGAAUGAAUGGUUGGACGAGAUAUUAACUGUCUUAAAUUAAAGUUUGAAUUUAAUUAUUUAGUAAAAAAGCUAAAAUUUAAUUAAAAGACGAGAAGACCCUAUAGAUCUUUAUAUUAAAUUUUUUAAAAUUAAUGAGGAAAAAUUUAUAAUUUAAUUAAAAUAAUAUUAUAUUGGGGUAAUAAAAAGAUUAAAAUAAUUCUUUUAUUUAUAAACAUGGAUUAAUGAUUUAAAUUGUGAUCCUUAAAUUAAGAUUAUAAGAAUAAGUUACCUUAGGGAUAACAGCGUAAUUUUUUUGAAGAGUUCAUAUCGAUAAAAAAGUUUGCGACCUCGAUGUUG